UUGUAAACCUUCUUUUAGUAGGGAAGAAGCGAAAAGUGACGGUACCUGCAGAAAAAAGCACCGGCUAACUUACGUGCCAGCAGCCGCGGUAAUACGUAGGGUGCAAGCGUUGUCCGGAAUUAUUGGGCGUAAAGAGCUCGUAGGCGGUUUGUCGCGUCUGCUGUGAAAUCCCGAGGCUCAACCUCGGGCUUGCAGUGGGUACGGGCAGACUAGAGUGCGGUAGGGGAGAUUGGAAUUCCUGGUGUAGCGGUGGAAUGCGCAGAUAUCAGGAGGAACACCGAUGGCGAAGGCAGAUCUCUGGGCCGUAACUGACGCUGAGGAGCGAAAGCGUGGGGAGCGAACAGGAUUAGAUACCCUGGUAGUCCACGCCGUAAACGUUGGGCGCUAGAUGUAGGGACCUUUCCACGGUUUCUGUGUCGUAGCUAACGCAUUAAGCGCCCCGCCUGGGGAGUACGGCCGCAAGGCUAAAACUCAAAGGAAUUGACGGGGGCCCGCACAAGCGGCGGAGCAUGCGGAUUAAUUCGAUGCAACGCGAAGAACCUUACCAAGGCUUGACAUACACCGGAAACGGCCAGAGAUGGUCGCCCCCUUGUGGUCGGUGUACAGGUGGUGCAUGGUUGUCGUCAGCUCGUGUCGUGAGAUGUUGGGUUAAGUCCCGCAACGAGCGCAACCCUCGUUCUAUGUUGCCAGCGCGUUAUGGCGGGGACUCAUAGGAGACUGCCGGGGUCAACUCGGAGGAAGGUGGGGAUGACGUCAAAUCAUCAUGCCCCUUAUGUCUUGGGCUUCACGCAUGCUACAAUGGCCGGUACAAAGGGCUGCGAUACCGUAAGGUGGAGCGAAUCCCAAAAAGCCGGUCUCAGUUCGGAUUGAGGUCUGCAACUCGACCUCAUGAAGUCGGAGUCGCUAGUAUCGCAGUCAGC
Molecule: ribosomal RNA, 920 nt
Filed under: Curtobacterium oceanosedimentum
Lineage: Bacteria; Bacillati; Actinomycetota; Actinomycetes; Micrococcales; Microbacteriaceae
Description: bacterial SSU rRNA
Rfam family: Bacterial small subunit ribosomal RNA
Source: RNAcentral